Juglans microcarpa x Juglans regia is the source of this 1159-nucleotide long non-coding RNA. RefSeq lists it as uncharacterized. The transcript has 4 exons. NCBI's taxonomy places the organism in Eukaryota, Viridiplantae, Streptophyta, Magnoliopsida, Fagales, Juglandaceae. The record is from RefSeq and is a predicted model, not a curated record.
GGUUCACACUACAAGGAAUUUCAUCUUUUGCGGGGUGUGAGCUCACCGCAAUUCGCCUAAUUUCUCGCAGCAAAAUUACACACGCUGCGAUUUCCACUCACCGCAAAUCGGCCGAGAGUAAUACGUCUGGUCAGAGCAAUUUCGGUGAAAAGUGAAGUUGGCCGUUGUUCCUACAGAUUUUGCCGCCAAUCUUUCUCGCAGCACAAGUCGAUGGACAAAUACGGUUUGAAGGGCAAUUUCGGCUGGGACAUCGUCGGAAAUCGUGGUCAUUUUUGGCCAAUUUGUGGGCACCGCAAUUGCAGAUUUCGGCGACUUUUGGGGCACCGAAAUUACUGAAGAUGUUGCUGCCAACAUCUCCCGCAGCAACCACGGUCGAUCCCAAAUUGGUUUGAAGAGCAAUUACUGCCAAAUUGCUGGGACGCCGCCAUUAUGGACAUACGGAGAGUUUGGGUCACCGCAAAAGGGAACUUCAGAUUUUGUCAAUCAAAACCCAAAAUCUCGUCAUUUUCCAAUUGCGGUGAAUUUGGUUAUGCCGGAAUUCGUAGUAGUGCAUGCGGGAAGGGUGAAUACGCAGCAAAUGCCAUUUGUUCAGCCUUUCAAAAUCAUGGACAUGGGUAUUUCCAUGUGGUGAACAAUGACUAUAAACAGCCAAGAGAACAGCUUUCUCGCCCCCAACAAAAAUGUAACAAGGAGGUUACCAAACACGAGGAUGCACCACAGAGCCACUGAAAGAACUGGAACUGGAGCAUGUAGGAAAAUACUUACAUGGAUCUCUUAGUGCUUAAAAGUAAAAGUCCGACUGCUCCACCGAGUGAAAGACUGACUCUGGAGGGAAAAUCCAAAUUUGUUUGGUUUCUGAGAUGAGGAUCAACUUACGCAUGGAUUUUCGGAUGCCUCAUCAUGCCACUUAUCGAAUAGUCAUUGUUCCCUUUUCGGUGCAGACCAAUUUCUAAAUGUACUGCAGCUUUAUAUUUAUAUUAUAUCAUGACAAGAAUAGUUCAUGUCAGUAGGGUAAAAUGUAAUUAUAUAUAUAUAUAUAUGACAUACAUAAAUAUUGUUUAUGUCUCUAUUGAGAAUCUUAUGGCUCAAGUAUACGAGCACAUACAUAUUUUGUAUUUGUCAAAAAUUCAUACCAAUCCACAAAUCCAUUCCUUGUUCA